Felis catus (domestic cat) is the source of this 2069-nucleotide long non-coding RNA. RefSeq lists it as uncharacterized. The record is from RefSeq and is a predicted model, not a curated record. The transcript is spliced from 2 exons. NCBI's taxonomy places the organism in Eukaryota, Metazoa, Chordata, Mammalia, Carnivora, Felidae.
AGACGAGGAAAGGGAGGGGAGGGCAGCCCAGAAAACAAGGGAGCUGCUUUGCAGGAGUUUCGAAAGAGAUGGUGUAGAAGACACACACACAUGUCUAAUUCCUUGCCUUGGCUGGAUAACACGGCUGCAAAAGGUUAGGACACAGCGAGAAGGUGGCUGUCUAUGUGCGAGGAAGAGAGCUCUAACUAGGAACCACAUCAGCUGGCACCUUGGUUUUGGACUUCCCAGCCUCAAGAUCUGUGAGAAAUAAAUAUCUGUUGUCUAAGACACCUGAUUAUGGGAUUUUGUUACAGCAGCCUAAGCUAAGACACCUAGAUUUUCCUCACGGGUUCCUAUCUUCAAAGACAGUCCAGUACUAGAAAGCCGGAACAUCAUCUAAAUUGCACCGGUGAAGUAUAGUAAGUUUGGUCAAUACUUAGCAAAUGGGUUAUGACCAAAAGCUGGGAGAGUGCAAGGGUGUGGGUCUAUCUGGGGGUUGUUUUUUAUUUUUUGUGGAGUGCAGGUAGCAAGGGGAAGGGAUACUAACAAGGGUGACUAGGUAAGAAAUCAAGUUUUUUGAGUCUGGAUUAGAAGAUCAACCCCAGAAACAGUAAGCAACUCAUAACAAACUCAGUUUUCAAGCUACAGAUAACCUGGAUUGAGGAGAAACAAUUUGGAUAUCCUAGGUUAACUUGAUGCCUAUCCUUUCCAUAGGGUGCCCAAGACAGUGCCAGUGGAAUGAGGCCAUGUGGACCAGUCAAAAAUACAAAAUGAAUGACCCCUCUUCAGUAGUUAGCAGGAGUAAAACCCUCCAGUUGGGACAUACUUGGUUCCAGUGAACUUACACCGGAGGUUGGGGAGGUUGGGGCAUGUUUCAAACUGAACACUGCUCUUUACAAAUAAAGCACUUGAACCAUCACACACCAAAGGGACUGGGGGUGAGUGGAGUGGUAGUUGUCAGGGAGAGAAGCAAAAGCCAAUUUUGACUUCAGCUCAGAGUUACUUUUACUUUGAGCUCCAGUGUCCCACAUGUGAUUCUUCUUGUCCAAAGAUAGAAGUAGGUUUCAGUGAGUUUUUAACUUAAUCUGCUUUUGGCCAUAUAAGGUGCCAGGGCUGCAUGACAUCAGGCACAAGGCUUCCCAGGGCUUUGACCCUGUAGAGAAGAUGCCUCCCCAGAGUGUUGACAGUUCACCCUGAGCCAAAGGCCUUCCUGUCCCAAAGAAGGAGGGAGAUAGGCAUUGUCAUUUUACAUGGAAGGAACUACUUUCUGAUUUAUUGUAAACACUGUACGAACUACAGAGGCAGCUUCCAUUCCUGCCUAGCUGGCUACUAAUGAAAUUCCCUUCAUCCCUGUAGAAGGUGGGGGCAGUGAAGAAAUGGAGCUGCUUGAAGAAUCAGAUAUGUUCCUAGCAUAUACAGUUCCAGAAACUGCCCAUUUCCGCCUCCACUGAAGACCACCGUGAUGAUGCUGUCAGAGGGAGGGGAGCCCGGGUUCCUCGUUACGAGAGGUGAGGAGAGCAGCAGGUCCAGGACAGCAGAAAGAAAGGCAGCAUCUGGGAGCACCAGAAAACAGGAUUCCCCUCUGGCCCCGGGGUCUCCCGGACCCCAACUCAUUCCUUAUAAGGAGAUGCCAGGCCUGUGGGGCUCUAAGAGGUGUCUUCAUCUGAAACUAAGCCGGGGCAGUCCCCAGCCCAGCCCAACUUGGUUCUGUCUAAGCCAGCAUAGUACUUACAGGUCUGGCAAUGGCUCUAUGGACAAGAAGUCAUUCUUGCAUUCAGAAAACAAAUCCAAGAAAUAAUGUAUGACCUAAAGGUUCUUGAAAGUUGGGUGGCCAAAUGUACACUGAAUAUACAGAACAAAACCUCUGUAUCAGCAAUUUGCCAGGUUCUCUUUAAGACACCCCAGUUAAAAAAAAAAUUCUUGGAGAGUGACAAAUAAGAAAAUAUGCUAUCUGUAGGCGAUAUGAUAGGAAAUUCACCAUUAUGAUAAAUUUCACCCUUAUAAACUCCUUGAGGGCAAUGUUUAACAUCUUGAUCUGAACACAGUGAGUGCUCAGUAAAGCUGUAGUAAAUAAAUGUAUUUAAGAGGAA